RNAcentral lists this ribosomal RNA (453 nucleotides) under uncultured bacterium. Its description in RNAcentral is "bacterial SSU rRNA". It matches the Rfam family "Bacterial small subunit ribosomal RNA", at positions 28 to 490 of the family's 1533-position model. The record is from RNAcentral.
GAUGAACGCUGGCGGCGUGCUUAACACAUGCAAGUCGAACGGGAUCCAUCAAGCUUGCUUGGUGGUGAGAGUGGCGAACGGGUGAGUAAUGCGUGACCGACCUGCCCCAUGCUCCGGAAUAGCUCCUGGAAACGGGUGGUAAUGCCGGAUGUUCCACAUGAUCGCAUGUGAUUGUGGGAAAGAUUCUAUCGGCGUGGGAUGGGGUCGCGUCCUAUCAGCUUGUUGGUGAGGUAACGGCUCACCAAGGCUUCGACGGGUAGCCGGCCUGAGAGGGCGACCGGCCACAUUGGGACUGAGAUACGGCCCAGACUCCUACGGGAGGCAGCAGUGGGGAAUAUUGCACAAUGGGCGCAAGCCUGAUGCAGCGACGCCGCGUGAGGGAUGGAGGCCUUCGGGUUGUAAACCUCUUUUGUUUGGGAGCAAGCCUUCGGGUGAGUGUACCUUUCGAAUAAG